Molecule: ribosomal RNA, 253 nt
Filed under: uncultured bacterium
Lineage: Bacteria
Description: partial 16S ribosomal RNA
Rfam family: Bacterial small subunit ribosomal RNA
Source: RNAcentral
UACAGAGGUCUCAAGCGUUGUUCGGAUUCAUUGGGCGUAAAGGGUGCGUAGGCGGCGCGGUAAGUCGGGUGUGAAAUCUUGGAGCUUAACUCCGAAACUGCAUUCGAUACUGCCGUGCUUGAGGACUGGAGAGGAGACUGGAAUUUACGGUGUAGCGGUGAAAUGCGUAGAGAUUAGGAAGAACACCAGUGGCGAAGGCGAUUCUCUGGACCAUAACUGACGCUGAGGCAUGAAAGCGUGGGUAGCAAACAGG